Molecule: ribosomal RNA, 468 nt
Filed under: uncultured bacterium
Lineage: Bacteria
Description: partial 16S ribosomal RNA
Rfam family: Bacterial small subunit ribosomal RNA
Source: RNAcentral
GACGAACGCUGGCGGCGUGCUUAACACAUGCAAGUCGAACGGAAAGGCCCUGCUUUUGUGGGGUGCUCGAGUGGCGAACGGGUGAGUAACACGUGAGUAACCUGCCCUUGACUUUGUGAUAACUUCAGGAAACUGGGUCUAAUACCUGAUAGGAGCUCCUGCUGCAUGGUGGGGGUUGGAAAGUUUCGGCGGUUGUGGAUGGACUCGCGGCUUAUCAGCUUGUUGGUGGGGUAGUGGCUGACCAAGGCUUUGACGGGUAGCCGACCUGGGAGGGUGACCGGGCACAUUGGGCCUGAGAUAGGGACCAGCAUCGAACGGGAGGCAGCGGUGGGGAAUAUUGCACAAUGGGCGGAAGCCUGAUGCAGCAACGUCGCGUGCGGGAUGACGGCCUUCGGGUUGUAAACCGCUUUCGCUUUAGACGAAGCGUGAGUGACGGUACCGGGUAAAGAAGCACCGGCUAACUACGUG